UAACGGCGAGUGAAGCGGCAACAGCUCAAAUUUGAAAUCUGGCUCUUUUAGAGUCCGAGUUGUAAUUUGCAGAGGGCGCUUUGGCUUUGGCAGCGGUCCAAGUUCCUUGGAACAGGACGUCACAGAGGGUGAGAAUCCCGUACGUGGUCGCUAGCUAUUGCCGUGUAAAGCCCCUUCGACGAGUCGAGUUGUUUGGGAAUGCAGCUCUAAAUGGGAGGUAAAUUUCUUCUAAAGCUAAAUACUGGCCAGAGACCGAUAGCGCACAAGUAGAGUGAUCGAAAGAUGAAAAGCACUUUGGAAAGAGAGUCAAACAGCACGUGAAAUUGUUGAAAGGGAAGCGCUUGCAGCCAGACUUGCUUGCAGUUGCUCACCCGGGCCUCUGUGCCCGGUGCAUUCUUCUGCAGGCAGGCCAGCAUCAGUUUGGGCGGUGGGAUAAAGGUCUCUGUCACGUACCUCUCUUCGGGGAGGCCUUAUAGGGGAGGCGACAUACCACCAGCCUGGACUGAGGUCCGCGCAUUUAUGCUAGGAUGCUGGCGUAAUGGCUGUAAGCGGCCCGUCUUGAAACACGGACCAAGGAGUCUAACAUCUAUGCGAGUGUUUGGGUGUCAAGCCCGAACGCGUAAUGAAAGUGAACGGAGGUGGGAACCCGCAAGGGUGCACCAUCGACCGAUCCUGAUGUCUUCGGAAGGAUUUGAGUAAGAGCAUGGCUGUUGGGACCCGAAAGAUGGUGAACUAUGCUUGAAUAGGGUGAAGCCAGAGGAAACUCUGGUGGAGGCUCCGCAGCGGUUCUGACGUGCAAAUCGAUCGUCAAAUUUGGGCAUAGGGGCGAAAGACUAA
This 837-nucleotide ribosomal RNA is filed under the name Pyrenophora trichostoma. Its description in RNAcentral is "LSU rRNA". It matches the Rfam family "Eukaryotic large subunit ribosomal RNA", at positions 84 to 934 of the family's 3401-position model. Lineage: Eukaryota; Fungi; Ascomycota; Dothideomycetes; Pleosporales; Pleosporaceae. The record is from RNAcentral.